Long non-coding RNA from Glycine soja, 308 nucleotides. RefSeq lists it as uncharacterized. Lineage: Eukaryota; Viridiplantae; Streptophyta; Magnoliopsida; Fabales; Fabaceae. The record is from RefSeq and is a predicted model, not a curated record. The transcript is spliced from 3 exons.
AUCCACCUCAGCAGAAGAGAAGUCUAAUAAUUGAGAUAGAGGAAGAACUCAAGAAUAUUACAAAAGCGAUCCACCUCAACAGGAGAGAAGUCAAAAAAUCGGCAUAAAGAAAAAAUUCAAGAUUAUAGCAUAAGAUGAUGCACCUCAACGGGAGAGAAGUCAAAAAAUACAGAAAAACAAAGAACUCGAGAAUAUUACGCAAGGUUAGUAUGAUUUUCUUGGAAAUCAAUUAUUUUCCACAAGUGUUUUAUGUGUUCGCGUGGUUACCAAAGGCAAUUUAAUUUUAUGGAUUUAAGUGAUAUUUUUUU